AGAAAACAGAAAAAAAAUAAGUGAGGAUCUUGACACAUUUCUUGAUCUACACGUCAUAUAUCUGUAACGCCCGUGAACCGGAAAAUCGGUUAGGAUUUGUUUUUAAAUCAUCCGGUUUAAUUGGUUGGGUUAAUUAGAAACCUUAGAGUGUGCCUAUAAAAGAAGGAAACUCGAAAUUAGGGCUUUAGUUAGCCACUUUUCGUUUAUAAAAGAGAAAAAGAGAGAAAAGGAGAAGGAGCAGAAUCGUUAGGGUUUGGGAGAAAUCAGUUUCGUCAUAUCAAAUCGUGGUAAAAGGUAACGAAAUUUGGUAGAGUUAUUCUCAAGUCCUUUAUCGUUAUUCUCCAGUUUACAGAAUUGGAUUUGGAAUAAAAUUGGUUGAGUUAUUCGCAGUUUCGUGAGACACGUUUUCUCAGACGCGAAUUAGGACCAGCGGAGAUUGAAACUGAGAUCGUGGUCUAGUCUGUUUUCCGAUCGGCACGAGAUUUUGUGGGCAGCUUUUGACGUCUGUAGCUAGGAUUUCACCGGAGAGAUUGAAUAGUUAACGGUUAACUUGUAUUUUAGGGUUUCGUCUUUGAGACUGCUUGUUUUUGGUUUUUCCUGUCCAGUUUGCUUCAAGGUUGCUUUUGGUUGUGGACUUGUUGUAGGACGUUUCUGGACUGUUUCAGACGCAAGGAGAGUCUCUCAUGUGUUUAAUUGCUAUUAGAAUCAAUUUGUUAAGGUGAGUGCGUGACCAUGAGCUUAUCUGAGCGAUUGAGUUGUGUGAUUUGUUUUGGGUGAUGAUAUGUAGGUGUGGUGAAUGUGUUUUGGGUGAAUUGUUCAAUGACUGGUUUGUUUGUAUUGUAUUCGUGAUUAUACCCUUUUAUUUGCUUGUGUGUAUAGCUCGUAGAUGGGAGGAUCGCCUCACUAAGUAUUUAUGAUAAUACUUACGCAUCUCAUUGUGUUGUUGAUGCAGGUAAAGAUAAAGUAUGAUCGUGAAAUCAUGGCAAGGAAGAGAGGAUGAUCUAGGAACUCGUUUGUUUAAUUUUUGGUGUUUUUGGUUAUUGGAACCCGGUUAGGAUUGUCAGUUAUUCUUGGUUUUGUUGGUCGAAUUAUUUAUUUAUUCAUAAAAUAGUAUUUUUGACUUGCGGUUUAACUAUUAUGUUAUUGGUUGGUUUAAUUAGAUAUUUAUGGGAAUAUUUAAUUAUAUAUAUAUAUUUUUUUUU
RNAcentral lists this small RNA (1202 nucleotides) under Arabidopsis thaliana (thale cress). Its description in RNAcentral is "ATSL173160". The record is from RNAcentral. Lineage: Eukaryota; Viridiplantae; Streptophyta; Magnoliopsida; Brassicales; Brassicaceae.